RNAcentral lists this long non-coding RNA (328 nucleotides) under Eucalyptus grandis. Its description in RNAcentral is "long non-coding RNA (EGRA_LNC006733)". Lineage: Eukaryota; Viridiplantae; Streptophyta; Magnoliopsida; Myrtales; Myrtaceae. The record is from RNAcentral.
UUAGGCUACAUCGUAGCCCUAACAAAAGAAAAUUAGAACAUAGUAGAAGAAGAAAUAAAAAUAUAGAUCAAACCCAGCAUCUUGAAUUAAAGGACAAGAAUUCUGUCACCACUUUUGUCUUCUCUUCAAAAUACUUAAAAAACUCUCAAAAGAAUAUAAAAAAAAAAAGGAUCUAACUCUCACCCUAGCUACUCUCUCUUCCUAUUUAUAGGAAAUCUAAAAUAUCUAUCUCCCAAUGCUUGCAGAUAACAUUAGGGAACAAAAUCAAGAAUUUCCUGAUUUGAUAUCCAUCUUCCACUGCUGCUUUUAUUUGAAUUCCUGAUAGUUA